This is a non-coding RNA of Pongo pygmaeus (Bornean orangutan), 681 nucleotides long. NCBI's taxonomy places the organism in Eukaryota, Metazoa, Chordata, Mammalia, Primates, Hominidae. The record is from the annotation of a RefSeq genome assembly.
AAUAAUACCUUUGAAAGACGUGUUCCCUUUUCACCAAUGCACAGACCCAGAAGACCCCUCCAUCCUGCAGCCCCUGCCAUGAGCCUCGGGCUCCUGUGUUGUGCAGCCUUUUCUCUCCUGUGGGCAGGUCCAGUGAAUGCUGAUGUCACUCAGAUCCCAAAAUUCCGGGUCCUGAAGACAGGACAGAGCAUGACACUGCAGUGUGCCCAGGAUAUGAACCAUGACUACAUGUACUGGUAUCGACAAGACCCAGGCAUGGGGCUGAGGCUGAUUCAUUACUCAGCUGGUGAGGGUACAACUACCAGAGGAGAAGUCCCCGAUGGCUACAAUGUCUCCAGAUUAAAAAAACAGAAUUUCCUUCUCGGGCUGGAGUCAGCUGCUCCCUCCCAGACAUCUGUGUACUUCUGUGCCAGCAGUUACUCCACAGUGCUGCAUGGCUGUCUCCUCUCUGCACAUAAAGGCAAGAGAAGGUGCUGCCCUCCUCCCCAGCACAGACUCAAUGAUGUCCUUGGUCCUAGCACCGAAAACUUUGGAGCCCCAGUGGGCCCGGGCAGUGCGAGACUUGAAUGUGCCCAGCAGACAGAGGAGCGGCUGUGGGAUGAGAAGGUGAACUCGGAGAUGCAGCGUGAGGCCUCCGGGUCCAGACAGCAUGGGAGCCCAAAGCGAUGUCCCAUGCAAUAA